Molecule: ribosomal RNA, 850 nt
Filed under: Periconia echinochloae
Lineage: Eukaryota; Fungi; Ascomycota; Dothideomycetes; Pleosporales; Periconiaceae
Description: LSU rRNA
Rfam family: Eukaryotic large subunit ribosomal RNA
Source: RNAcentral
CUUCGCCGUGUAAAGCCCCUUCGACGAGUCGAGUUGUUUGGGAAUGCAGCUCUAAAUGGGAGGUAAAUUUCUUCUAAAGCUAAAUACCGGCCAGAGACCGAUAGCGCACAAGUAGAGUGAUCGAAAGAUGAAAAGCACUUUGGAAAGAGAGUCAAACAGCACGUGAAAUUGUUAAAAGGGAAGCGCUUGCAGCCAGACUUGCCUGUAGUUGCUCACCCGGGCUCCUGCCCGGGGCACUCUUCUGCAGGCAGGCCAGCAUCAGUUUGGGCGGUAGGACAAAGGCCUCUGACACGUAUCUCCCUUCGGGGUUAACAUAUAGGGGGGGCGCAAUGCUACCAGCCCGGACUGAGGUCCGCGCAUCUGCUAGGAUGCUGGCGUAAUGGCUGUAAGCGGCCCGUCUUGAAACACGGACCAAGGAGUCUAACAUCUAUGCGAGUGUUUGGGUGUCAAGCCCGAGCGCGUAAUGAAAGUGAACGGAGGUGGGAACCCCUCGGGGCGCACCAUCGACCGAUCCUGAUGUCUUCGGAUGGAUUUGAGUAAGAGCAUAGCUGUUGGGACCCGAAAGAUGGUGAACUAUGCUUGAAUAGGGUGAAGCCAGAGGAAACUCUGGUGGAGGCUCGCAGCGGUUCUGACGUGCAAAUCGAUCGUCAAAUUUGGGCAUAGGGGCGAAAGACUAAUCGAACUAUCUAGUAGCUGGUUCCUGCCGAAGUUUCCCUCAGGAUAGCAGUAACGUUUUCAGUUUUAUGAGGUAAAGCGAAUGAUUAGAGGCCUGGGGGUUGAAACAACCUUCACCUAUUCUCAAACUUUAAAUAUGUAAGAAGUCCUUGUUACUUUAUUGAACGUGGACAUU